This 253-nucleotide ribosomal RNA is filed under the name uncultured bacterium. RNAcentral describes it as "partial 16S ribosomal RNA". It matches the Rfam family "Bacterial small subunit ribosomal RNA", at positions 524 to 776 of the family's 1533-position model. The record is from RNAcentral.
UACGUAGGGUGCAAGCGUUAAUCGGAAUUACUGGGCGUAAAGCGUGCGCAGGCGGUCAUGCAAGACAGAUGUGAAAUCCCCGGGCUCAACCUGGGAACUGCAUUUGUGACUGCAUGGCUGGAGUGCGGCAGAGGGGGAUGGAAUUCCGCGUGUAGCAGUGAAAUGCGUAGAUAUGCGGAGGAACACCGAUGGCGAAGGCAAUCCCCUGGGCCUGCACUGACGCUCAUGCACGAAAGCGUGGGGAGCAAACGGG